AUCCCUUUGUAUCUGAGGCCUUCUGGAGGCAUUUUGUACAGCAUUGUACCAGGGUGAAAGAAAAAAAGAAAGCAACAGUCUGCCUCUCUGUGAAUCAUGGAGAUCCAUCCUUGACUUCUAAUGCAUGAAGCUAAACUGAGCUCACAUUGUUGAAGUUUUUGCACGCACAACAACAGGGAGAAACUUCUCUUUCUCACACUAAUUUGUACUGGUGAAAUGGAAAACAGUGCUGGGACACUGGAAGGGAAGGACUUUCUGCACAACUAAUGGUCUCUGCAGCAUCUUGCAGACUGCAGCUUGUCUGCUGAACCUGGCAGGAUGGUUUUUUCUCCCGUCUCUUUUUGAACAAGACCUCUGGAACAAGAAUGUGUACUGUGUGUAGCAGUAUUUGGCUGAUCCUUCGCAUGGGACACCCACACUACUUGUGCUUUCUCUUGGUGCUGCUGCUCCCAGCAGUGCAGCUGUCCUACAGCCUUCAAACAUAUUUCUUCGCUCUUGGAUCUGAUGUCUUGGAAAAAUGAAUUCUGUUGAUUUCUUGCUCAAAUACUUCCCCCUCCUCUUAUCCUACAGUUCAUGAGCUUGUGAGGUCUAGCUAAACAUGUUUUAUCCUAGGUGCCACCUAUAGUUGUCCUGUCCAAAACGUAACUGUAGUAGAGGACUCAAAUGCCUUUGGGACAAUUUCUGCUAUUGGAGCAUCUUCAAGGGUUAUCACAAAUAAAAACAUUCUUACCUAGCAGACUUGUUGUUCAGUGUGGAUUGAGAUAUUUCUUUCUCAAGCAGAUCUAUGCGAAAGAUUAAAGCAGUCUCUGUUAAUGAAAGUAGUAA
Numida meleagris (helmeted guineafowl) is the source of this 825-nucleotide long non-coding RNA. RefSeq lists it as uncharacterized. NCBI's taxonomy places the organism in Eukaryota, Metazoa, Chordata, Aves, Galliformes, Numididae. The record is from RefSeq and is a predicted model, not a curated record. The transcript is spliced from 5 exons.